This is a long non-coding RNA of Asparagus officinalis (garden asparagus), 189 nucleotides long. RefSeq lists it as uncharacterized. The transcript has 3 exons. Lineage: Eukaryota; Viridiplantae; Streptophyta; Magnoliopsida; Asparagales; Asparagaceae. The record is from RefSeq and is a predicted model, not a curated record.
CUCCUACGCCAAUCUGGAGGAUGUUUAUUGUCAAGAUACGGGGAAAUCAUUAAUGCCGAUACACUUGAGGGCCAGAGCGGCAUAUGGUACUUUUCGUGAACAAUAUAGGGGUGAUGAGAGGAAUCGGGAUAAGAUCACGGCAAAUCUCGAGUUAGUGGAGGGAUUUGAGACUGCAUCCAAGGAGGCUGC